This 635-nucleotide ribosomal RNA is filed under the name uncultured Bacillota bacterium. Its description in RNAcentral is "bacterial SSU rRNA". It matches the Rfam family "Bacterial small subunit ribosomal RNA", at positions 246 to 872 of the family's 1533-position model. Lineage: Bacteria; Bacillati; Bacillota. The record is from RNAcentral.
UUGUUGGGUGGGGUAACGGCUCACCAAGGCAACGAUGCGUAGCUGACCUGAGAGGGUGGUCGGCCACAUUGGGACUGAGACACGGCCCAAACUCCUACGGGAGGCAGCAGUAGGGAAUCUUCCGCAAUGGACGAAAGUCUGACGGAGCAACGCCGCGUGAGUGAAGAAGGCCUUCGGGUCGUAAAACUCUGUUGCCGGGGAAGAACAAGUACCGUUCGAACAGGGCGGCGCCUUGACGGUACCCGGCCAGAAAGCCACGGCUAACUACGUGCCAGCAGCCGCGGUAAUACGUAGGUGGCAAGCGUUGUCCGGAAUUAUUGGGCGUAAAGCGCGCGCAGGCGGCUUCUUAAGUCUGAUGUGAAAUCUUGCGGAUCAACCGCAAGCGGUCAUUGGAAACUGGGAGGCUUGAGUGCAGAAGAGGAGAGUGGAAUUCCACGUGUAGCGGUGAAAUGUGUAGAGAUGUGGAGGAACACCAGUGGGGAAGGGGGCUCUUUGGUCUGUAACUGACGCUGAGGCGCGAAAGAGUGGGGAGCAAACACGAUUAGAUACCCCGGUAGUGCACGCCGUAAACGAUGAGUAAUAAGUGUUAGAGGGUUUCCUCCUUUUAGUGGUGCAGCUAACGCAUAAGCAUCCGC